RNAcentral lists this ribosomal RNA (510 nucleotides) under uncultured bacterium. RNAcentral describes it as "partial 16S ribosomal RNA". It matches the Rfam family "Bacterial small subunit ribosomal RNA", at positions 28 to 507 of the family's 1533-position model. The record is from RNAcentral.
GACGAACGCUGGCGGCGUGCUUAACACAUGCAAGUCGAACGAAGAGCGAUGGAAGCUUGCCUCUAUCAAUCUUAGUGGCGAACGGGUGAGUAACGCGUAAUCAACCUGCCCUUCAGAGGGGGACAACAGUUGGAAACGACUGCUAAUACCGCAUACGAUCUAAUCUCGGCAUCGAGGAAAGAUGAAAGGUGGCCUCUAUUUAUAAGCUAUCACUGAAGGAGGGGAUUGCGUCUGAUUAGCUAGUUGGAGGGGUAACGGCCCACCAAGGCGAUGAUCAGUAGCCGGUCUGAGAGGAUGAACGGCCACAUUGGGACUGAGACACGGCCCAGACGCCUACGGGAGGCAGCAGGGGGGAAUCUUCCGCAAUGGACGAAAGUCUGACGGAGCAACGCCGCGUGAGUGAUGACGGCCUUCGGGUUGUAAAGCUCUGUUAAUCGGGACGAAAGGCCUUCUUGCGAACAGUUAGAAGGAUUGACGGUACCGGAAUAGAAAGCCACGGCUAACUACGUG